Molecule: non-coding RNA, 24 nt
Filed under: Arabidopsis thaliana (thale cress)
Lineage: Eukaryota; Viridiplantae; Streptophyta; Magnoliopsida; Brassicales; Brassicaceae
Source: RNAcentral
ACGGUCAACUGUGCACUCUUUGGG